This 958-nucleotide non-coding RNA is filed under the name Parupeneus multifasciatus (manybar goatfish). RNAcentral describes it as "12S ribosomal RNA". It matches the Rfam family "Bacterial small subunit ribosomal RNA". The record is from RNAcentral. Lineage: Eukaryota; Metazoa; Chordata; Actinopteri; Syngnathiformes; Mullidae.
CAAAGGCUUGGUCCUGACUUUACUGUCAGCUUUAGCUAUAUUUACACAUGCAAGUAUCCGCACCCCCGUGAGAAUGCCCACCCCCGCUUUCCCCGCCCGAAAGCAAGGAGCUGGUAUCAGGCACACUCUCUGUAGCCCACGACACCUAGCUUUGCCACACCCCCAAGGGAACUCAGCAGUGAUAAACAUUAAGCCAUGAGCGAAAGCUUGACUUAGUUAAAGCUAAGAGGGCCGGUAAAACUCGUGCCAGCAACCGCGGUUAUACGAGAGGCCCAAGUUGACAGGAAUCGGCGUAAAGGGUGGUUAGGGGUUAUUACAAAAUAAAGCCGAACAUUCUCAGCGCUGUUAUACGCCCCCGAGAACUUGAAGCCCCACCACGAAAGUGGCUUUACCCCGCCCCGAACCCACGAAAGCCAGGGCACAAACUGGGAUUAGAUACCCCACUAUGCCUGGCCGUAAACAUUGAUAAGAUAUUACACGCAUUAUCCGCCCGGGAACUACGAGCACUAGCUUAAAACCCCAAGGACUUGGCGGUGCUUCAGACCCCCCUAGAGGAGCCUGUUUCUAGAACCGAUAAUCCCCGUUCAACCUCACCCUUCCCUGUAAAUCCUGCCUAUAUACCGCCGUCGUCAGCCUACCCUGUGAAGGGUCUAAAGUGGGCUAAACUGGUAUUACCCAAAAUGUCAGGUCGAGGUGUAGCAUAUGGAAGGGGAAGCAAUGGGCUACAUUCGCUGACUCAGCGAAUCACGAAAGACAUACUGAAAAGCAUGUCCGAAGGUGGAUUUAGCAGUAAGGGGGGAAUAGAGCGCCMCUCUGAAGUUGGCUCUGAAGCGUGCACACAUCGCCCGUCACUCUCCCCGAAUUAGUCUACACCCGUAACUUAACAACACGGACGCCGCCGAGGGGAGGCAAGUCGUAACAUGGUAAGUGUACCGGAAGGUGCACUUGGAUAAAAUAU